Molecule: long non-coding RNA, 12073 nt
Organism: Mustela lutreola (European mink)
Lineage: Eukaryota; Metazoa; Chordata; Mammalia; Carnivora; Mustelidae
Exons: 4
Source: RefSeq, a predicted model, not a curated record
AUCAGCUUUGAGGAAUAAUUUAUAUCCAACACAAUGCACUUGUAUUCAUUGUAUGAUAUAAUAAAUUUUAUAUAUCCAUGUAGUUACCACCAUAAUCAAGAUACAGCACAUUUCCCUCAACCUGGAUAGCUUCCCUGUGCCCCUUUGGACACAGUCCCCCAGACCCAGACCUCGACCCUCGCCCACCACUGAUCUGCUGUUAUUAUACCUUAGUUUCCCCAUUCCUUGGAUUUCAUAUGAAUGGGAUUUAUAUCACAUAUUCUUGUAUCCGGUUUAUUUUUCUCAAAAUGUUUUUGAGCUUCAUCCUUGUCAUUGCAUGUGUCCCGCUUUGUUCCUUUUAUUGUUCUCUUUCGUUAAAUGGUUACAUUACUUUUUUUUAUCCAUUCACCUGUUGAUGGACUUUUGGGUUGUUUCUGAUUUAUGGCAUUGUGAAAAACACUGAAAAAGACAUUUGUAUACAAGUCAUGGUGUAGACAUGUUUUCAUUUCUCUUGGUUGGAAUUGCUGGGCUGUAUAAGUAUUUGUCUAAUUUUAUGGGAAACAGCCAAACUCUUUUUCCAGCGUGGUUAUAACAUUGUCCACUUCCUUCCACAGUGUAUGAGAGGACUGGUUCCUCCAGACCCUUGCUGACACCAGAUCAGCACUUUUAAUUUUAGGUAUUUUAUUAGGUGUGAAGUGGUAACUCAUUGUGGUUUUGAUUUGCACUUCUGUAAUAACUAAUAAUGUUUAGCAUCUUUUCAUGUACUUUGCCAUUUUUACAUCUUUUAUGACAUGUCUGUUGAAAACUUAGACUUUUUUUUUGCUUGUCUUAUUAUUGAGUUGCAAAGUUCUUUAUAUUUGCUGGAUACAAGUCACCUGUCAGAUAUAUGUAUUAUAAAUAUCUGUAGUUUCUCUUUUCAUUGUUGUAUCUGUUUUUUGAAGGACAGACCUUAUUACUUUUGGUGAGCUAAUUUGUUGUUUUAUCACUUACAGUUUUGGGGUGUUUUUUUUUUUUUUUUUAAUAAAUCUUUGCUUGUCCUGAGGUAUUGAAGAUUUUCUGUGAUUUCAGUUCUUAUAUUCAAACCUGUGACCCAUUUGGAGUUAAUUUUUGUUUAAGGCUUUGUGUGAAGUUUUUUUUCCCCUAUGGAGGAUAUCUAGUUGUUGGAGAACCAUUUUUUGAAAAGAUUGCCCUUUCCCUUUUGACCAGCUAGUUUUGGCAUAUUUCUCACAAUUAAUUGACUGUAGAUGUUUGGAUCUGUUUCUGGGUACUAUGUAGGCCACACCCAAGUUGGUGCAGAAACGAGAAGGGGGACGUAGAUGAGACAGUUUGGGACCAUAAGGAAGAGAAAGGGUUUCUGGGGUUUUAGAGCUCAUCAGCUCCAGCAGAGGAGCAGACACCAUGUUUUCCCACCAGUGAGGGGAGAGGGGUUAGGUAGUCCGUGUGGGGCCAGAGAAGACAGGGGAUUUCCCUGAAACAAAGGGAGUUUUGGCAACUGCUUAGGAAUAUUCCUUAAAGUCUCUGUCCCAAGGAAGACUAACCACAGUUUGUCAAGGAACAAGAAGAGCACCCUUUGGACCUAACACCCCCCCACUCCAGAUUUCCCCACCAGGGUUUCAGGUAAAAAUUGAAAAUGGGGUGGGCCCAAGUGGAACAUAAAUCUGUAUUUGAACUAAGUUAGGUUUGUUGGCAAUUAAGAUAUACACAUCUUUAUUAUUUAUUUAUUUACUUAUUUAUUUACUUGACAGAUGGCAGAGAGAGAGGAGGAAGCAGGCUCCGCACUGAGCAGAGUGCCUGAUGCGGGGCUGGAUCCCAGGACCCUGGGAUCAUGACCUGAACCAAAGGCAGAGGCUUUAACCCACUGAGCCUCCCAGGAGCCCCAAGCUAGACACGUCUUUAAAGUUAUCAGCACUAAAUGUAAAGCUUAUUCUAUUGAGGUUUACUGAAGGUCAAAAAAGCUCAUAUUAUCCUUCUUGGAAUUUGUUAACCAAAAGAUGACUAAACUGAUGGUUAAUUAAUUGUCUCAGAGUUUUCUUGGGUAAUUGUUAAGAUAGCUUUCAAAGUCUUUGGUAACCUGAAAGUUUAAAGUUUUGCUUGGAUGAUAAAUGGAAUUAAAUUUGUUGGACAUCUAAGUCUUUUCCAAAUGGGAGAGAGUGCUAAAUCACUGUUAACUGGGCAUAGGUUUGUGCUUUUGGCUUACUGCAAAGAACUAAGGAUAUUUAAAUCUGUUGGUAACAUGCUUUGUGCUUAACUGAUUCACAAAUUUGCCAUCUAAAGAAUUCUGGUAUAACAGUUUGCCAUUGGUUACUCCUUAGUCUUAACUGGAGAUGAAGGUUUCUAAAGAAUGAAAAAUUCUGCUGACACUAACUAUGACUGAUGGAAAUAAGGGAAACCACUCUGAAUGUGGAAAAGUGGGAGAUAAGUAAGAAAGAUAAGAAAUGGGAAUGCAUUUUUGUUAAAGGUAGAAGAAGGUAAUUUUGUCCGAAAUGAGAUGGUUGAUUGGGAAGAAAUGGCUUGGGACAAAAUCUGAAUGCAAAGGGAAGUUGUAGAAGGUUUAUGGAGGGAAAACUUUGGAAUGGAAUUUUAGAUGUGGUCAGGAUGGACUGAGACUGAAAUGAAUGGAUUUGAAAGUACAUUGUUAGAAGAUUGAAAGUUUGCCUUCUCUCUGUUCAAUAAGACCAAAAGUAUUGUGUGGUUGUUGGUUUGUCUUGAUAAGAAAAUGCAAAUAGUUGUUCUCUCCACCUGCCUAGAAAAAUCGGGUCUUUAACAUCCCUAAUCCUAUGUAGGCAUGUGCUUUAAAACUUUCCAAGGUUUUAACAGACUUCCCCAAGAUUUAAAUCAUGAAUAAAGUCUUGUGGACUAAUUAGGCUUGCUUGCUUGGUAUGUAACAUUCUGGUUCUGGCUAUUGACUUGUUAUGUGGCACAGAAUAACUGAGUUGCCUUAUCAUAGUGAACUCUCCUAUCAGAUGUUCAUUUCUGAGUUUUUUGUUUGUUUGUUUUUGUUUUUUGUCAUUUAUAAUUGUCCUUAUUGUCUUGCAAAAUGAGUUUCAUUUCUGGGAGGUUCAUAUAAAAGACUUUUAGGACAGCACAGGUAUUCAAUAUCUUUAAGAUCAGAACUGAAAUGAAUAAGAAUUUCCAGAACUAAUUAAAGCUGCAUUCAAACUAAACCAGAAUUAGUAACAUGGGACUGAAUGAACUAAGAGAUUAUAGUGUUAUGGCUCUUGUUUGAAACAUGGCUGGUUCUCUAAUGUUUGCUCUUCCAGACUAAGGAAACUUUUUCUUAAGAUGUCUGUGACUUACAGAAAUAUGAAAAUACUCAUUUGUAAACAAAUCAAAGCAUUCAACUUUUCUCUCUACCUGAACCCUCAAAUUCAAAAGGUCUUUGCCCGGGAAACAUUAUGCCUAAGUGUGGUGGAAGGAUCCUUUAACAAAUCAGUGAUCUGGCCCUGAUCCUGUUUUAAUUUGGGGACAAGAGCAUGUGUGUAUCUUUCCUGGGAACGCUGAUGGACCCAUCUGGCUCCUCAAGUGGCUCAUACGCUCCUGCAGUGGAUCACACUCCAGAGGAACUUCUGGAUCCAUCCCAACGCCUCAUCCCGCCGUUCUGGAGGCCGAAGAUACUGACAUACAGCCUUGAUUACUAUAGCUUUUUUCUUCUUUUUUUAAGAUUUUAUUUAUUUAUUUGACAGACAGAGAUCACAAGUAGGCAGAGAGGAAGGCAGAGAGAGAGGAGGAAGCAGGUACUAUAGCUUUUUAAUGAAGUCUUAAAAUUAGAUAGUAAUAAGUCCUUGGGCUUUUUUCUUUUUUGGAAGAUUGAUUUGGCUCUCUCUAGCCCUUCACAUUUCAUGUAAAUUUAGAAUCAGAUUGCCAGUUUUGAGCCUCCUUCCCAAAUAAAGCUCCUGCUGUAUUUUUUUCAUUGGGAUUUUAUUAAAACUAUUAUAUCAAUUUGGAGAGAAUUGAUAUCAUGACAGUUUUUAAAAAAUUUUUAAUUUUUAUUUAAAUUCAAGUUAGUUAGCAUAUAGUGUAUUACUAGUUCGGGGGUAGAGUUUCGUGAUUCAUCGGUUGCAUGUGACACCCCGUGCUCAUUCCAUCAGGUGUCCUCCUCGAUGCCCGUCACCCAGUUACCCCAACCCCUCCCCGCCCAAACCGCAGUUGUUCCUGGCAGCCCUCAGUUUUUUUUCUCCCAUAGUUAAGAGUUUCGUAUAGUUUGCCCCUCUCUCUUCUUAUCCUAUUUGAUUUUUCCUUCCCUUUCUCUGUGCUCAUCUCUUUUUUUUUUAAUUCCACAGAUCAGUGAAAUCAUAUGGUAUUUGUUUUCUCUGACUUAUUUCACUUAGCAUAAUAUACUCUAGUUUCAUCCCCAUCAGGUCUUUAACAUCCCUAAUCCUAUAUAGGCCUGUGCUUUAAAACUUUCUAAGGUUUUAACAGACUUCCCCAAGAUUUAAAUAAUGAAUAAAGUCUUGUGGACUAAUGGCAAGAUUUCAUUUUUGAUGGCUGCAUAAUACUCCUGUGUGUGUGUGUGUGUGUGUGUGUGUGUGUGUGUAUACACAUCGCAUCUUCUUUAUCCAUUCAUCAGUUGACAGACAUCUGGGCUAUUUCCAUAUUUUGGCUGUUGUGGACAUUGCUGCUUCAAAUCCCUAUUUUUGUAUCCUUUGGACAAAUAUCCAGUAGUGCGGUUACUGGGUCAUAGGAUAGUCUUUUUUUUUUAAAAGAGAUUUUAUUUAUCUGUUUGACAGAUCACAAGUAGGCAGAGAGGCAGGCAGAGGGAGAGGGUGAGGGAGAAGCAGGAUCCCUGCUGAGCAGAGAGCCCAACGUGGUGCUCAAUCCCAGGACCCUGAGAUCAUGACCUGAGCUGAAGGCAGAGGCUUAACCCGCUGAGGCACCCAGGUGCCCUAGGAUAGUUCUAUUUUUAACUUUUUGAGGAACCUCCACGCUGUUUUCCACAGUGGCUGUGCCAGCUUGCAUUCCCACCAACAGUGUAGGAGGGUUCCCCUUUCUCAACAUCCUCGCCAACAUCUGUUGUUUCUGGACUUAUUAAUUUUAGCCAUUCUGACCCAUGUGAGGUGGUAUCUCAUUGUGGUUUUGAUUUGUAUUUCCCUGGUGCUGAGUGACGUUGAACGUUUUUUCAUGUGUCUGUUGCCAUUUGGAUGUCUUCUUUGGAGAAAUGUUUGUUCAUGUCUUCUGCCCAUUUCUUGAUUGGAUUUUCUUCCUGAGUGUUGAUUUUGGUAAGUUCUUUAUAGAUUCUGAAUACUAGCCCUUUAUCGGAUAUGUCAUUUGCAAAUAUCUUCUUCCGUUCCGUGGAUUGCCUUUUAGUUUUGUUGACUGUUUCCUUUGCUGUGCAAACGCUUUUUAUCCUGAUGAAUUCCAGUAGUUCAUUUUUGCUUUUGUUUUCCUUGCCUCUGGAGAUGUAUCUAGCAAAAAUUUAUUGUGGCUGAGGUCAGAGAGGUUGCUGCCUGUGUUCUCAUCUAGGAUUUUGACAGAUUUCUGUCACAUUUAGGUCUUUCUUCCCUUUUUAAUUUAUUUUUGCAUAUGGUGCAAGAAAGUGGUUCAGUUUCAUUCUUCUGCAUGUGGCUGUCCAAUUUCCCCAGCAUGAUUUGUUGAAGAGACUGUCUUUUUUUCCAUUGGCUAUUCUUUUCUGCUUUUAUGAAGUUUAGUUGAUCAUAGAGUUGAGACUCCAUAUUUAGGUUCUUUAUUGUGUACCAGUGAUCUAUGUGUCUGUUUUUGUGCCAAUACCAUACUGUCUUGAUAAUUACAGCUUUGUAAUACAACUUUGUAAUAAAAAGUUCAGAACAGUGAUGCCUCCAGCUUUGGUUUUCUUUUUCAAAAUUACUUUGGCUCUUUGGGAACUUUUCUGGUUCUGUGUAAAUUAUAAAAUUGUUCCAGCUCUGUGAAAAAUGCUGGUGUUAUUUUGAUAGGGAUUGCAUUGAAUGUAUAGAUUGCUUUAGGUAGCAGAGACACUUUUUUUUUUUUUUUAAGAUUUUCUUUAUUUAUUUGACAGAGAUCACAAGCAGGCAGAGGCAGGCAGAGAGAAAGAGGGAAACAGACUCCCCGCUGAGCAGGACCCUGAGAUCAUUACGGGAGCCAAAGGCAGAGGCUUAACCCACUGAGCCACCCAGGCACCCAGCAUAGACAUUUUUUUAAAAGAUUUUAUUUAUUAUUUGACCAAGAGAGACACAGCAAGAGAGGGAAAACAAGUAGGAGAGGGAGAAGCAGGCUCCCUGUGGAGCAGGGAGCCCAGUGUGGGGCUUGAUCCCAGGACCCCAGGAUCACAACCCGAGCUGAAGGCAGACGCCCGACAGCUAAGCCACCCAGCUGCCCCUAGCAUAGACAUUUUAACAAUAUUUGUUCUUCCAGUCCCUGAGCAUGGAAUGUUUUUCUAUUUCUUUGUGUCUUCCUCAGUUUCUUUCAUGAGUGUUCUAUAGUUUUCUGAGUACAGAUUCUUUGCAUCGUUGGUUAGGUUUAUUCCUAGGUAUCUUACGGGUUUUGGUGCAGUUGUAAAGGGGACCAGUUCCUUGAAUUUGUCUUUCUGCUGCUUGGUUGCUGGUGUAUAGAAACGAAAUAGACUUUUGUAUGUUGAUUUUAUAUCCUGCAACUUUGCUGAAUUCCUCUAUCAGUUCUAGCAAUUUUUUUGGUGGCAUUUUUCAGGUUUUCUACAUAGAGUAUUGUGUAAUCUGCGUAGAGUGGAAGUUUGAGUUGUUCUUUGCUUAUUUGGAUGCCUUUUAUUUUUGUUGUCUGAUUGCUGACACCAGAGCUUUCAGUGCUAUGUUGAACAACCGUGGUGAGAGUGGACAUCCCGGCUGUACUCUUGAUCUCGGGGGAAAAGCUCUCAGUUUUUUCCCAUUGAGGAUGAUAUUAGCUGUGGGUCUUUCGUAUAUGGCCUUAUUAUUUUGAGGUCCUGUUCCCCCUAUCCCUACUUUGUUGAGGGUUUUUAUCAAGACAGAGUGUGUAUUUUGUCAAAUGCUUUUUCUGCAUCUGUUGAGAGGAUUAUACAGCUCUUACCCUUUCUUUUAUUAAUGCGGUGUGUCAUGUUUGAUUUGCAUGUUGAAUGACACUUUCAGUCCAGGAAUAAAUCCGACGUGUGGUGAAUAAUUCUUUUAACAUACUGUGGGAUCUGAUUACUUAGUAAUCUUGUGGAGAAUUUUUGCAUUCAUGUUCAUCAGGGAUGUUUGUCUGUAAUUCCCCUUUCUAGUGGGGUCCUUGUGUGGUUUUGGAAUCAAGAGAAUGCUGGCCUCAUAGAAUGAAUUUGGAAGUUUUCCUUCCAUUUUUAUUUUUUGGAACAGUUUUGAAGAAAUAGUUAUUCUUUUUUUUUUUUUUUUAAAGGAUUUUAUUUAUGUAUUUGACAGAGAGAGAGAGAUCACAAGUAGGCAGAGAGGCAGGCAGAGAGAGAGGAGGAAGCAGGCUCCCUGCUGAGCAGAGAGCCUGACAUGGGGCUUGAUCCCAGGACCCUGAGAUCAUGACCUGAGCUGAAGGCAGAGGCUUUAACUCACUGAGCCACGCAGGCGCCCCGGGUCUUGUUUUUUAAUCCAUUCUGAUACCUUAUGUAUUUUGAUUGGAGCAUUUAGUCCGUUUGCAUUCAGAGUAAUUAUUGAAGAUAAGAAUUUAGUGUCAUCGUAUUACCUAUAUCAAGCCCAGCUAGUACUCUUGUAAUCGUUUUAAAUUCUAGUUCAGACAUCUUGCUGAUUAAAUCUGUGGCACUGAGUGCUACCUCCUGUUCUUCUUUCCUUUGGGGUGAGUGUUUACAUCUUAAUCAUUUUGUCCAGAAAAGAAAAGAGGAAAGAAAAAGAUAAAACAAAAAACCUAACAGUGGGUUUCAGACAAUACCUGAAAGGAAUUGAGAAAAAUAGGAAAAUAAAUGAAAAAAUUAGAAAAACAUUUUUUGGAGAGAGAGUGUGAGCCAGCGAGGGUCAGAGGGAGCUGGAGCGAGAGGAUCGUAAACAGGCUCCAUGCCCAGCCCCGAGCUUGACGCCCGCGGGGUGUGACCUCAUGACCCUGAAAUCAUGACCCGAGCCAAAAGCAAGAGUUGGGGACUCAACUGGCAGAGCCACCCAGGUGUCUUGGCAGAUGUAAGCCUUCUAAUCCCUGAAUCCCUGAAUACGUCUGUAUUCAGACGUACUGUAUUCAGGGUCUUACUAAAUUGACUUCAGAGGAGCAUAAGGGAACUUUUUGGAGUGAAGGGAAUAUUCUGUGUCAUGGUUAGAGUGGGAGUAACAUGGGAACAUACAAUUAUCAGACCUCACCAAGGUGUACUUUAGAUUCUGUAGUUGACUGUGUAUGAGGGACUGCAGUGAAGUUUGUCUACAGAGUAAUAACAAAAAUUACGUCAGGUAUUACAUUUCUUUCACUGACAUGAUUCCUAACCAUCAGAAUCAUUUGACUUGCGUGUCAUUUGAACAGCUGGUUUGAUGCUGACGGUGCCGCAUUCGUUCACGAACUGUCUUCAUGACGCACUGCCGACCCAGUCCAGGGAGAGAUCUGGCCCCCGGGGCCUGGCAGGAAGGGGAACUGGGCCAGGCGCCGUGAUAGUCAGCAGAGCAUCUGUGUCAGAGAUGAUUACGUGUUCACUACUGUCUCUUUCCUCUUCUUCCCUGGACUCGAGGUCAGACUCCUGGGAGGGUUUACUGGUCAGAGUGUAUGGCCGAGAGACUGAGUUCUGGUUUGUAGAGGGUGAGCAAAAGUGACGUGUGCCUUCCAACUUGGCCCAUAACCAGCGAUCACGUCAGAGCACUCCACGCCCUUUUCCUCUUCAGACUCUUGUUUAGAGACCAGCUGCAGGGCAGGGUUGGGAGCCGUAACCUAAAGACGGCCGAGCCACGGGUUGGAAGGAGCCAUGUCUCCCAGGCAGCGCCCCGACUGGAUCUGGAGAGAAGUUUUCUCUAAUAGCCUCCUUUCAGUCCCAGUUGUAGUCUGCUUCUUUGAUUCUCUCAGCACGCAGUGUGCUCUGGGGAGAUUCUAGAUUCUCAGCUUGGUUGUAGGUAAUAAGGAAAAGCUCAUUCCAUACAGAUGCGUGAGGCAGAGCAGAUCAGGACAACAGAGCGGGCCAGGAGCAGAGAGACUCCACAGGGGAAGGAAGGCCUUGUGGGCGGGGGCAGCGGAGGGAGAUGGGCCCUGGAGUCAGGAAGGGUCCUCGGGGCAUGCCAGCACCCACCAGAGCCUGGCAGAGCUAUUUAAGGAAAUUGAGAAAAAGCUCUACUUACCACAGGCACAGAGGAUUGGGCUGUGGAUGGUGGGUAAAUCAGGGGUUAACAUCUCUGUCAUAUUGAUGAGGAAAUUAAGUUUUAUAGAGAUUAAAAUAUUUGUAUCUAGCCUGGUGCUUAGUUCAUAGUAGAUGCACAGUAAAUAUUUGUUGAAUGAAUGAAUAAUUUACUAGUCUGACACCUUGAAUGCUGAAGCCUUCUACCAGGGAUAGAGAACUUGUCUGUUCGGUGGUGUGUAGAGGAGUAUGGUGCUGGUACCCAGGACGGACACCGCUGUGCUUGCAUACGGUGCUUGGAAAAGGUUUGAGUGUUCGUGUGCUCCCUGCUUGGCCCUCGUCCCUACCAUUCCCGGUUGCCUUACAACUCACGCGGUCUCCACGUUGAGGUCAGCCGUCUGUCUCCUGUGAGCUUGGUUGUGUGGUACCCCUCUUCCACUUCCCCGUCCACAGGUCACCUUCUAGAUGACUCUAGAAGUCAUCUAGGGGCUCUUCCCUAACCUGUCGUUUUGCCUUCUCCCAUAUCUUUCCUGCCACUGCCACCCCAUCCUCUCUCCCCUUCUCUGUCCGCUUAUGUCCCGGAUUUUCUCAUGCUAUUCGGCAUUCUAAGCGAACUUCUUAGGCUACGAAGCCUAAUUACGAGGAGCUGGAAAACCUAAGCCCGGGACAGAGUUGUACCAGGGGUGGCGUCUACAAGUUUGUGUUACGUGUAAAGAGACAUAAAUAUUACUGUACUGUGUGGUUAGUAGACAAAUGAGCAGUGUCUGUAAAUUGUAGUUAACCAACAUGUUACUCUGCUUUUACUGGCUGCAGUUAACUACCUGGGCAUUGAGUCAUUUUAGCGUAUUUUCUUGUCUGAUGAACUAGGAGUUAGAAGGUGUUGUGUCCGUUCUGAACAAAAUAUCCACAGUGGCUGUACUCUUCGUUUCGAAGUAGAAAAAUCCCUUUAUUGAUAUUAUCAAACUAGAAUAGAAACAGCAGAAAACGGAAAUGUGCACACAGACGGGAGCACAGUAAGCCAUGAAGGCGGGUAAGACAGUCACAUCGGAUCGGGUCCUCGCACGUGCAGCCGCAUCGGCCGGGGAAGCCCCGUGGACAUGGCCGGGCUGCGGUCCUGACUGAGGCCUGGGCGGAGGGAGCGUCCCUCCCUCGGCGGAGACUUCGACUCGCCGUCACCAUAGGGGCCACAUUCACAGGAGUGUGUGAGUGGGAAGGAAAGGCAGAGGCAGAGGGAGAAGCAGGCUCCCCACCGAGCAGGGAGCGGAUAUGGAGCCCAUCCCCGGACCCCAGGAUCAGGACCUCAUCUGAAAGCAGACAUUUAACUGACCGAGCCACCCAGGAAUGUAAACAUCGUCGUGUCCGCACAGGCGCCGAACCACGUGCAAGAGCGCUCGAGGCACUGUCAUCCCUGAGAAAGAAACAAAUGUCAGUCGGCAGCGGAACAGACGCCUAAGCUGAGGUAUGGUCACAGAAUGGAAGCUGAUAGGACACAAACGAGUCACACCCCUGCACAGCAACACAGAUGAUACACAGAUGAAUCUGCCAAACCUGAUUUUCUGCGAGAAAGACACCAGGCACAAAAGAUUGCUUGUAGUUUGAUUUCCAUUUAAUUAAGAUCCCAAACCAGCUAAACUGAAUGACUGUCGGACAUCGGGAGGACGGACAUUGAGGGAGGACGGAGGGCGGUGAGUGUCAGAGCGGGGUGAGUAGCAGUCGGCGGACGAUCUGGGCUCUGACCGGCGUGUGCUGCGGGGCCGUUUACUCUGCUUGUUCAGUGAGCUUUACAGUGCUCUUUUGUCACGUUUUGUUACGAUUUUCUCUUUGUAGGUUAUGUUUCCUGAUUCAAAAAGUUUAAAGAAGGUUGGGAUCUUCUAAGGACUGUUUUCCAUGAGAAGAAUUUUCAGCACCAGAAUGAACUUUAAAACCUCCAGUUUGCUUUCUAGGUUCCACACCCAGUGCAGAGUCAAAGGUGGGGCCUGAACUCAUGACCCUGAGAUGAAGACCCGGUCUGAAAUCAAGAGUUGGACGCUCCACCGACUGAGCCCCCCAAAAGCCCCACCGAUAGCCUUUCUCAUCACUGGGAAUAAAGACGGACUUCAUUAGUGUGAGACGAUGGGAUAGCCGUUUGUAAAACACCAUAUAUACCAGGAUAAACUCCAAAUAGAUCAAAGAUUGACAUGUUAAAAAGAACAGAACAAAAACCCAGAUGAGAAUAGAGGUGAAUGCCUUUGAUUCUUGAAGUGGCAAAGACCCUUCUUAAUAUAUUGCUCAAAAUCCAAAAGCUGUGAAAGAAAAUAUUGACACAUUCAAUUACUGAAAGAUAAGGCCGGGUAGCAACAUUUAUCAAAGUUAAAAGACAAAGGACUAUCUGAGAAAACGCCUGAUACAAAGGGCUCAGCUCUCUGAUACAGACACGGAGCUUCCAAAACCAACGCGAACUAUUGUUUUAUACAUUGUGUAUCACGUACCUGUGGGAGGAGAUGGCCACAGGUCCAGGACAGACUGCUAGGUGAACAGCGGUAGAGAACUUGUAUGCGUUCUCCUGUGAGAAGACAAGGAAGAAAAGUAUGUUCUGUUUCUGUUUCCAUAGACACUGGAAAGGGAACUGGGUGGCCAAGGUCAGUGACGUGGAAGUGGACUUCUCAGUGUGGAUCUCUCCACGUAAUUUUGAUUUUUGUAGCAAACUAUUUAUUUUAAAAUGAAAUAAAAUGGAUGGUGACCAGUUAGAGUUGAAGUCCACUCACAUUUCUGUCUUUAGGCAUUUGUAUUUAAGAUUCCGUGACGAUGAUUUUACUGUAAACUGCAGCUUGCAGUGUUGCUGUUUACCCCGGAAUCCCACUCCUGGAAACCCAUUCUGAGACACCCUUGGAAAUGACCAUGUAGUUUUUGCUAAAUAAAAUUUUAAGUCCAGCA